AAGGAACAUGGAAACUAACACCAUAUAUUGAGGGGCCUGGGAUUCAUUUAACAUCAGCAAAUGACGUUGCAUUGGCAGAUAGUAGGCUUGGUGCAAAUUCCUCCGAAUAGGGCCUGCUUCCUGCACUCCCUGAUACACGCGUAAUCAUCAGUACAGGGGUUGAAUGGCAAAUCAACCUUGCAUAGCAUCUGUGCCGAAACACCCUCUGCAUCAAGUUUUGUCAAGCAUGAAUUAUGUGAGAGAAACACAACCUUCAUCUUAAGUUUAAAGAGAGAGAGAAAAGAGUUUAUUGGCACUUUGAUAGUAAAUUGACAGACUCUUAAAAUGACCAGAAAUUUGUAUGCACCCUUGAUUAUGAAUCUUAAACAACCAAAAUGCUGUAGAUUGAGUAAAUCUAUAAACAUUUGAAAUUCUUGAAAACAUCCUCAAUAACCAUCUAGUUGUAAUUAGAUGCAUCCUGAAAUUUCAAACUUAAAACAAAAAAGAAAAGCAAAACUGGAUCCCACAAUUACUUAUGCCCGUUGUUUCAAAGCCCGGAUCGGUAGGGCUGAUUGUUCACCCAUAGAUCUAUGAUGGAUCGUUACAUCGGACAUUCAGAUUCGGCUGCAUCUAUCCGAAUCGGUCAUCCAGAAGAAACACGGAUUUAAGGGGGGGAACCAGGCCAAGACCCAUACCAUCUUGGAAUUGCCCAAUCGAUUCCCAUCUCAACGACCUCGAUUGGAAAUUGC
RNAcentral lists this long non-coding RNA (728 nucleotides) under Amborella trichopoda. RNAcentral's name for it is "long non-coding RNA (ATRI_LNC000205)". Lineage: Eukaryota; Viridiplantae; Streptophyta; Magnoliopsida; Amborellales; Amborellaceae. The record is from RNAcentral.